UACGUAGGGGGCAAGCGUUGUCCGGAUUUAUUGGGCGUAAAGAGCGUGUAGGCGGCCAGAUAGGUCCGUUGUGAAAACUCGAGGCUCAACCUCGAGACGCCGAUGGAAACCAUCUGGCUAGAGUCCGGAAGAGGAGAGUGGAAUUCCUGGUGUAGCGGUGAAAUGCGCAGAUAUCAGGAAGAACACCGAUGGCGAAGGCAGGUCUCUGGGCCAUAACUGACGCUGAGAAGCGAAAGCAUGGGGAGCGAACAGG
Molecule: ribosomal RNA, 253 nt
Filed under: uncultured bacterium
Lineage: Bacteria
Description: partial 16S ribosomal RNA
Rfam family: Bacterial small subunit ribosomal RNA
Source: RNAcentral